UUCCCUACGGGAGGCUGCAGUGGGGAAUUUUGGACAAUGGGCGAAAGCCUGAUCCAGCCAUGCCGCGUGAGUGAAGAAGGCCUUCGGGUUGUAAAGCUCUUUCGGCUGGGAAGAAAUCGCACUCUCUAAUACAGGGUGUGGAUGACGGUACCAGCAUAAGAAGCACCGGCUAACUACGUGCCAGCAGCCGCGGUAAUACGUAGGGUGCGAGCGUUAUUCGGAAUUACUGGGCGUAAAGCGUGCGCAGGCGGUUGUGUAAGACAGACGUGAAAUCCCCGGGCUCAACCUGGGAACUGCGUUUGUGACUGCACGGCUAGAGUACGGCAGAGGGGGGUGGAAUUCCACGUGUAGCAGUGAAAUGCGUAGAGAUGUGGAGGAACACCGAUGGCGAAGGCAGCCCCCUGGGCCAGUACUGACGCUCAUGCACGAAAGCGUGGGGAGCAAACAGGAUUAGAUACCCGAGUAGUC
This 468-nucleotide ribosomal RNA is filed under the name uncultured Rhodocyclaceae bacterium. RNAcentral describes it as "bacterial SSU rRNA". It matches the Rfam family "Bacterial small subunit ribosomal RNA", at positions 335 to 795 of the family's 1533-position model. The record is from RNAcentral. Lineage: Bacteria; Pseudomonadati; Pseudomonadota; Betaproteobacteria; Rhodocyclales; Rhodocyclaceae.